GAUGAACGCUGGCGGCGUGCCUAAUACAUGCAAGUCGAGCGAACAGACGAGGAGCUUGCUCCUCUGACGUUAGCGGCGGACGGGUGAGUCACACGUGGAUAACCUACCUAUAAGACUGGGAUAACUUCGGGAAACCGGAGCUCAUACCGGAUCAUAUAUUGAACCGCAUGGUUCAAUAGUGAAAGACGGUUUUGCUGGCACUUAUAGAUGGAUCCGAGCCGCAUUAGCUAGUUGGUAAGGUAACGGCUUACCAAGGCAACGAUGCGUAGCCGACCUGAGAGGACGAUCGGCCACACUGGAACUGAGACACGGCCCAGACUCCUACGGGAGGCAGCAGUAGGGAAUCUUCGGCAAUGGGCGAAAGCCUGAUGGAGCAACGCCGCGUGAGUGAUGAAGGCCUUCGGAUCGUAAAACUCUGUUAUUCGGAAAGAAAAAAUGUGUAAGUAUCUAGGAGCGUCUUGACGGUACCGAAUCAAAAAGCCACGGCUAACUACGUG
This 497-nucleotide ribosomal RNA is filed under the name uncultured bacterium. RNAcentral's name for it is "partial 16S ribosomal RNA". It matches the Rfam family "Bacterial small subunit ribosomal RNA", at positions 28 to 507 of the family's 1533-position model. The record is from RNAcentral.